AUUCUGUAAGAAGAGAAAGCACUCAGAAAGAGGAGCGAUGCUGUCAGCAUUUUUUUUUUCAAUUUUCAAAUGAGUUUCCCAAAGCUGGUGGCUUCUUUUGGUGGUCAGAGUGUGUGUGGGGGGGUGGGGUGGGGGGGGUGUCCAGGAGUUUUGUAAGAGCUGGGUCAGAUCAGCUAGCAGUGGACAAACACUUUGAGUGAAAGGGUAUCUGAAGGAUGAUUUUGUGUUUUGUUAGGGGAAUGAUUUAUGGGACCAGGAUGUCUAAGUCCUGUCAGCAUUUCAGGGCAAGGUGAGUUAAUGUCCAGGUGAGAGUCUCUUAAACUGGUGCUUCGUUGGUGGAAACACUGUAUACAAGGCGAACCUGGGAAGCCACACUGGGGUCGUCCUUGGAGACGUCAGGGAGAGGCAGAAAGGUCACUGGGGUAGUCAACUCUCUCUCCGAAGAGUGCCAAGGCUGAAGAGGUGAGUACCCGCCUGGAUCACAGCUCUUAUCCUCCAAUUUCUGCAGAAUAUUGUUCACUGGAGACCACUUGAUGUGUCAGCCAUAGAAAUACCCAAAGCUUCCUGACUGUCAGGCUGGCUUGAUGUUCCUGAUGUCAUCCCUUUGGCCAUCUCUCCUGCCUUUAAGGACCACCCAAAUAAUUCAGAGCCACCUCACUAUUUCCAGUUGAUGUCCUUCUGCCCUGAAGUUCUCACCUGACACCGAGCAGAUGCUGGCAUUGUGCUCUUGAACAUUGCCUCCUCUGAAACUGUAUGGUCAAAUAAAGCUCUUUGACAAAA
Long non-coding RNA from Mus musculus (house mouse), 780 nucleotides. RefSeq annotates it as predicted gene, 33964. The record is from RefSeq and is a predicted model, not a curated record. The transcript is spliced from 4 exons. NCBI's taxonomy places the organism in Eukaryota, Metazoa, Chordata, Mammalia, Rodentia, Muridae.